Molecule: transfer RNA, 77 nt
Filed under: Acidobacteriota bacterium
Lineage: Bacteria; Pseudomonadati; Acidobacteriota
Also listed under: 1 other name
Description: Acidobacteria bacterium tRNA-Glu
Rfam family: tRNA
About the family: Transfer RNA (tRNA) molecules are approximately 80 nucleotides in length. Their secondary structure includes four short double-helical elements and three loops (D, anti-codon, and T loops). Further hydrogen bonds mediate the characteristic L-shaped molecular structure. tRNAs have two regions of fundamental functional importance: the anti-codon, which is responsible for specific mRNA codon recognition, and the 3' end, to which the tRNAs corresponding amino acid is attached (by aminoacyl-tRNA synthetases). tRNAs cope with the degeneracy of the genetic code in two manners: having more than one tRNA (with a specific anti-codon) for a particular amino acid; and 'wobble' base-pairing, i.e. permitting non-standard base-pairing at the 3rd anti-codon position.
Source: RNAcentral
GACCCUGUGGUGCAGAGGCCCAGCACGCCAGCCUUUCACGCUGGAGAUCGAGGGUUCGAAUCCCUCCAGGGUCGCCA